AAUAUUUUAGUAUUAGGUUUUUGAAUGGUUCUUAGAAAUUCCUAGAUUCUUUGAGAUUCAAUGAACUUUUCAAAGGCAUGUUUCAAUCUCGAGUGUGCCCUCCAAGUUUUGUGACUGGGAUACCGAGGAUCACAAAACGAGGUGUGAAGUAACCAUGCAAAUCACUUGGUACCCUUAAAGUUUAUCACUCAAUCGAUGUGCCGGUUAACCACACACGCUCCAUCGAUACUAUAAUAAACCCUAAGUCACCCUUUACCUACCUUGUUAAGUCCAAGUUAGUGUGCCGGUUAACCACACACGCUCCACCAACGACUUAAUCAAAGUGUAAAGUGUAAUUUCAUGGAAUAGCACCUUAUUCACAUUUUUCCUAAAGUAACUAAGAUUGGGAAUUUAAUAAAACAUUUAGUUACUUUAUAAUAUUCAUCAUACUUUGAAUGAGAAUUAAUAAGUCCUUGUCUUACCCGUUCGGCUAACGACCCUCCACCGAUCAAGCAAGCGGUGGGUGAGAGUGGACACCCAUUAAGUCACCAUUUUAUAGGCAACAACCUUAUACCCACCUUAUAGACCGGCUUCGUGAAUGAGGCGUACUAGCGGUAAGACGACUUUGUUCUUAUACAUAUAUAUAUAAUUAUUAAAUCAUAAUAAUAUAAGUAUAAGGGUUGAAUUUUAACUUUUAAAAUUCUAGGGGUUGGAACUAAAGUUUUAACUUAACUUUACUUGUUCCAAAACUUGAGGGCAAGUUUUGUAAACUUUCAAAACUUUUCAUUUCUUGUAACUUAUGAGUUUAAUAGAGUAAUAAAAUGAGGACUUUUCAUUUUUCCUAACUCUUGUGUUCUUUUAAUGGUUUUUAAUCCAAGAGACUUUUGGUUUUCCAUAACUUGAGGACAAGUUAUGGACUCCAUUAAAACACAUUAUGAUCAAGAAUUAAACUACCAAGUAGGUUACAAGUAAUUCCUAUGAUCAUCUAAAUUCAUAAGAUCAAGAACAUGAAUAUUCAUAUCAAAGUUUCAAGAUCAUAUGAACACAUAUAAUCAUGAAAAUUUGAUAUUAGCCAUUGUAAAUGGAUUAGAACAAACAUUACUCCAUCUAAAAUAAGUUUUAUAACACCAAAACAAUUUAGGGUAAUGUUUCUAGUCCAUUUCCAGCAGCAAAAGUCGAAAAUUUGCACUCUGUCGCUCCCAUUCGCCGAGUGCAUGAACCUACUCAGCGAGUAGGUUGAAGAUACACGUGAACUCGGCGAGUCCCCCCAUGGACUCGGCGAGUUCAUCAGGCAGACAGCAAGUUUUUCGACUUUUUUCAACUUUUUAGCACAAAUAACAAACAAACAAGCCUAGGCUCUGAUACCACUGAUGGGUUUUGAGCAUUCUAACACUUCCUAAGUGUACAUGCAACCCUAAUAACCUUGGAUCUAUGUUUGUCUAAUUAUCAUGCAAAGUUGAUUUCCAAGGCUAUGAUCCUAUCUAGCAUACAUGGGGAACAAUUUUAACUUAAAUAAUAGAUAGAACUACAUACCUUGUUGUUGUAAUUGUUCCUUGAAACCUUGUGAGCCUAGCACCCCAAGUGUGAUGCCUCAAAUGCUUCACACAACACCAAAUGCUAUGGAGUAAACUUGGAGAGAAAGUAUAACACUCUAAAAAUCGGCUCUAGCCCUCUUGUUUUUUGUCUAACCGAUUUUGGGAGAACACAUGAGCUUUAUAUAGUGUUGACACAUCUAGGGUUACACCAUGUAAACCCUAAUGUGUCAUGACUCUUCAUUUCCAUGACCCAUGGGUUUGUAACUCCCAUGGAGCCUGCAUGGAGCAUCCAAUGGGUUUAACCCAACUUGAUUAUCCAUGGAGCCUCUUAGCCCACUAUAUAAGUUAUGGAUGAUUUACAUAAUCAACCCAUAUAUUUAAUUAGUUAUCUUUUGAUCACUUAAUUAAUUCUUGAUCAAACUAAUUAAAUAAUAUUAUUAAUAUAUUAGAACUUAUAAUAUAUUAAUAACCACAAGUGUUAUUUCUCUCAUUUAGUCUAUCCAAUUGCAUGGUGCCAUGCAACCUAAAUGGACCAUGCCGGGUCGGGUCAAGUACAUACCAGAAAUAGUUAUGGACUUAGACACCUUAUCCAACAAUAUACACUAAUUAUAUACAUAUGUGUGUCAUUAUAUGCCUUAUAGGAUCUGUUUGUGCUCGAGACUUCACUUAGUACUUAGCAUCCUACAACCGAUCUUUCAUUUAUAUCACUCACUACAGGUGAGUUCAUACCCCUUUAAUCUACCUUUUAAAUGAUUUUAAAUGCUUUUAUGGGGGGGGGGAAUACAAGUUGAUAACAUUAUAGUUGUUAUAUCAAUCACAUGUGAUUAAUAACUAUCAAACAAGUGAAUUUUCUUAUACUUCAACUGUUUUAUCAAACAAACUCUUCAAAACAUUUUAUAAACUUACAUCAACUCACCUGUUACCAUUCAACUGGUUAAAACUCUUUUAUAUGUUAAACUCUUUUUUAAACUCUUUUAAACUUAUAUAUUGUCAAAAUCACGUCUAUAUAGAUAUAGUUAUAUAAGUAAGGUUUAAAGGACUUAGGACUAAUAACUCACUUUAUUUCAUGUUCCUUGUUUGGUUGUGGACUUAGGGUAUCCGGUUAUUUGUCCGAGUGUCGUUUGAAUCUUAGUUAUGUAUUAUGUAUAUGUGUAUUUAUAUAAAAGUCCUUACAUCAAUUCAGCACCUUUGGGUAGCAAAGGUGUACAAACAUACUCAGUCAUUCAAACAACAUUACUAGUAAACUAUAAAAGGUAUAGUUUAGGGAUUUACUACUCACUAAUUCUAGUACAAUGAAACAUAAAAGAGUCAGUUCAUUCAUGAGUAAAUACAAACUUACUAUUAUGAGAAACAGAAAGAACAUACUAUGAUGAGAAACUAAGAGGACAUACAUUGCACUAUACAAAGAGAACAUACUAUACACUAGAACAGAGAGAACAUGAAAUACACUAGAACAUACUAUACAAACACUAGAGUACUAUAACAUUAAUGUGAGCCACUACUUCAUGGCAUGGCAAGCUACUGUCGUGUCAUGUUUUGUAACCAGAGUCUCCUGGAGGGAGAGCGUGAAUUUGUGUAAAGAUCUAUACGGGACUGACCGUCCUACACCUUGCUGCUAGCUACAAUGGGACCUGUAGGUCUACGGGUGACGAAUGGCAUACCAUUUCGACGUCUUUGAUCGUCUUGUUUUACUAGUCGAUCAAGUAUGGUUACAACCUCAUCACAUUUUACCUUAAUUAACAAACUGGUUUAAGGUAGUUAGUACAUUGGUAGUUACUUAUAUACAAUACUAUAGUACAUCGUUAUUUUCCCAUUGCAUUCACAUUGUGAUCUUCUCACAUAAACGGUAAUGUAAACUAUAUUUUUAGUAAUGAUAGUCAUAAUUGGGAAAUUUACACCCUUUUACAAACAAACAACAUACAGAACAUUCGGGCCUUGGUAGAAGGCUACCUUUUUAGUAGAAAAUAUAGGAUUUUCUAGGAGAUACAAACAUUUACAUCAAACAUUUUCAAACACUUUCAUACAAUCAAUGACACUAAACUACUUAUGAACUCACUAGCUUUAAUGUUGAUCUACUCUUUUAAAAUAACUUGUACUCUGAGGUCACCAUUAGACAUGUACCGAUGACCAGGUUUUUGAGAAGACAGAGCUUUCAAGACUCGUAUUUAUUUUGAUUAUUCAUUUUUGGUGUCUUAUAAACUAUACACAGAACACACUUGUAUUAAAAUUAUACUAUUAAUGCAAUGGAUGAUGUUGUUGCUUGUUUACUAUUAUGCAUUGUUGUGAUAUUGUACAUGACGUCCUCCGCCCCAGAACGUUUCCGCCGUUCCGGUUUUGGGGUGUGACACGUGGCUUUGCAUCCUGCUUAGCAAACAAGUACUUAAUAGCAGAGUGGUUAGUAAAAUAGUAGUUUUAGACAAAAUGAAGUAGGGACGAAAUUUGUCAAAGGCAUACACCACAACUAAUAAUUCUUUUUUAGUUGUAGUGUAGUUUUCUUGGGUCGGAUUUAGGGUCUUGCUACCAUAGUAAAUGGGUUGAAAGUGUUUGUCAACCCUUUGGCCAAGUACAACUCCUAAGGAAUAACUGCUUGCAUCGCACAUUAUCUCAAAUGGUAAGUUCCAAUUCGGGGCGAUAAUGAUCUGGGCAUUAGUUCAUUUUUCUUUCAAAAUUUCAAAAGCAGUUAACACUUUUUAGAAAAAUUAAAAGGUGCAACUUUCAAAAGUAAUUGAGUUAAAGGUCUAGUUAUUUCAGAAAAAUCUUUAAUAAAGCGGUGGUAAAAACUCGCAUGACCCAGGAAACUCCUAACGCCCUUCACACUGCUCCGGCUCGACUUCUCUUAACCUUUUGCUCAUUUUUAGAAAAAUUCAUCUCUUUUUUGAAAAUCUUUCUGAAAUCCUCAGUUUGAGUCCAAACACACCCGAGGGUGCAUCCAAAUCCCUCAAACCAAGGCUCUGAUACCAACUUGUAACAACGUAAUUUUUCAACCAAAAUUUUCAUUUUUAACACAAUAAAAUCUUGUAUCAUAAUUCUCAAAACACAUAUUUCUCAAGUGUCAAUAAAAGAAUACAGAAUCCCAUAAUCAUAAAAACAAUCUCCUGCCGGUAUGUACAAUCAUGUUGGUGCCUUGCCGCGAUCCACGGAACUACCUAAAACCCAUAACACAUAACACGGUAGGCAUAAAAGCUUAGUGAGUUCCCCAAAAAACCACACACAACACAUUAGCCACUCGAGGCUAUAACUCUAUUGACCCUCUGGUCAAUGUGUCUCAGUAGGACCCUCUGGUCCCAUAACUCAUAUGGACCCUCCGGUCCCUCAACUCAGCAUCACAAUAUAAUACUCAUAAAGCAUAACACAAGUAAAUAGCAGGAUAUCUUAUUACACAGUUCAUGCACAUAAGACCCUCUGGUCACACAUAGCUACCACUCAAGGUAAAGUAUAGUGAGAAGAUUACCUUGUAAGCCAAAGAAUGGAAAUCUCGUAAUCUUGAUCGUGAUCUCUACUCCCGGGUCUAGCUCCCGCCUAACACAUAAUAAUUAUCCCUAAUUAAUAUUGGCCCUCAAGAAGCUAGACUAAUCCUUCUACAACUCAUAGAAGGGUAAAAUACCAUUUUACCCCUUCAAUGCUCAAUAGCCCUCAAUCUUGACCAAACCCAAAAAGUCAAUAGCGGAAGUAUGCGGCGCGUAUCAGCUCUGUACGCGGCGCGUACCCCAUGGCUAACCAGAAACGGGGAACUCGAGCCCCUACGUUGCGCGUACUGGGAUUACGCCCGACGUAAGUCCCAGUUUCUCACUUCUCGUGGUUUUAGGUCUAAAUCGGCUAAGACAAAGGCUCAAAUCCCAUAUCUAGUUACUCUAAUGCCUCUCAAUCCAUAAAGUCAGUGACUUUAAGCCUUUGAAUGGCUGUAAAGUUCACCAACUCCCAAAUCAUGCCAUUUCCUUCCUAAAAAGACUCAUAACUCAUGCAUGGUCAACUCUUAAUGACCAAGAUAAGAUUUUUAUGGCUCAACAACACAAAAUAAGCCAACAUGGGAUAGAUCCCGGGUUCUAGGGGCUUAUCAACUCAUAAAGCCAUCAACUUUAGGGACAAAAACCCUAAAAUACCUCACACAUGAACACAACAAAAGAGUAGGAAAGCUUGGAGCUUUUACCUCCAAAUGAAGCCUCUCCCACUGUUAAGCUCAGAUCCAAGAGCUUGGGCUCUAACUCUUUCUUCUCCAAAGCUUCCUUUCCACUCCAAAAGCUCAAGAACGCACCCACAAGCUCUCAAAGGCACUCUCUUGCUACAAGAACGAGAUUUAGGGUUUUGGGGAGGUUAAGUAUCUGGAAAUGGUGGCCACAAGGAGGCCAUAACACUCUUUAAAUAGGGGACACCCUAAAUAUUAGGGUUACAAACUGGGCCUGGUACGCCCCACGUACCCGUCUACCACCCCCUUUCCUUAUCAAGGACCAAUAUAGAAUUAGACUUCGCCCCCGAAGUCAUGCUCCACAAACAACUUUGGAUGUUGCUCCCGCAUCUCAGACUCCGAUUCCCAAGUCGUCUCGAACCCUCUUCAAUGUUGCCACUGGACUUAGACCAAAGGCACCUACUUGGUCCUCAGAACCAUCACCUUUCAGAAUCGUGAUCGAUAUUUCGAUGUAAUUCAGGCCCCCAUCAACCUGAAUAUCCUCUAGUGGUACCACUGCCAUCUCAUCAGCCACACACUUCCUCAAUUGGGAUACAUGGAAGGUGUUAUGGAUCUGACUCAACUCCUCAAGUAGCUCCAAACGGUAUGCUACCUUUCCCACUCUCGUGGUCAUCCUGAAAGGACCAAUGUAUCAGGGCCCUAGCUUGCCCCUCUUCCUAAAUUGGAUCACUACUUUCCAAGGAGAUACCUUCAGGAGGACAAAGUCUCCAACCUGGAACUCGAGCUUGGAUCGCCGCCUAUCCGCGUAACUCUUCUGGCGACUUGGGGUUGUCUGUAUCCGUAACCUCUGUCUGACCUGUUGUAUCUGCUCAGUCGUCUUAAGCACUAUCUCAGUGCUUCCCAUCACUCGCUUCCCUACCUCUCCUCAACAGAUGGGGGUCCGACACCUCCUCCCAUAUAGAAGCUCAAAGGGAGGCAUCCCAAUACUCGAAUGGUGGCCGUUGUUAUACGAAAACUCAACCAAAGGUAGGUAUGUGUCCCAACUUCCACCGAAGUCCAUAACACAUGCUCGAAGCAUGUACUCGAGCGUCUGUAUCAUCCGCUCACUCUGUCCGUCUGUCUGUGGGUGAUAAGCAAUACUGAAGUGCAAUCUCGUACCCAACUCCUCAUGAAACUUCUUCCAGAACCUGGAAGUGAAACACACAUCUUUGUCUGACACAAUCGAGAUCGGCACUCCAUGCCGAGACACCACCUCUCUCACGUAUAUCUCUGUCAGCCUCUCUCUAGAAGAGCUCUCACUGAUAGCAAGGAAAUGAAUGCUCUUCGUCAGUCGGUCCACAAUCACCCAAAUUGCAUCAACACCCCUCGCGCUCCUCGGCAAUUUGGUGAUGAAAUCCAUAGAAAUAUGUUCCCACUUCCACUAGGGAACCUCUAGCGGCUGUAACUUGCCUGCGGACGCUGGUGCUCAGCCUUAAACUGGCGACAUGUCAAGCACCUUUCUACAACCCACGCAACAUCCCUCUUCAUACAGGGCCACCAGUAAUCCCUCUACAGAUCCAAAUACAUCUUAGUGGCCCCGGGAUGGAUCGAAAAUAUUGAUCUGUGUGCCUCCUCCAUCAAUAUGCUACGUGCUCCGCCCAUAAACGACACCCAAACCCGACCAUGAAAGGUCAUAAGCCCUCGGCUAUCAGUAACAAACUCGGACACAUGCCCAAUCACCCGUUCUCUCUUGCGGUUCUCCGGUCUCACAGCCUCUACCUGGGCCUAUCAUAUGGUAUCCAACACAGGAGUCAUCAUUGUCAUCCUCAUGUAUAUGUCUUGAAUCAGGGCACUCUCCACCCUGCGGCUCAGAGCAUCGGCUACCACGUUAGCCUUGCCCGGGUGGUACAGGAUUUCACAGUCAUAAUCCUUUACCAUCCAACCAUCUCCUCUGACGCAUGUUCAGGUUGGGCUGAUCCAUCAGAUACUUCAAACUCUUGUGGUUCGUGUAUAUGGUACACCGAAUCCCAUACAAAUAAUGGCGCCAUAUCUUGAGGGUGAACACUACUACCCCAACUCCAAAUCAUGGGUGGGAUACCUCGUCUCAUGAGGCUUCAACUCCCUCAAUGUGUAUGCUAUCAUGUGCCCUCUCUGCAUAAGCACCGCACCCAACCUUGAUAUGGACGCGUCACAGUAGACCACAAAAUCCCCCAUUCCCUCCGGAAGGGCUAACACCGGGGCUUCGCAUAAUCUCUGGCGAAGAGUCUCAAAUGAGGUCUGCUGCACGGGACCUCAAGUAAAAGCAGCACCCUUCCGGGUCAAUCUGGUGAGGGGAACAACAAUCUUGGAGAAAUCCCUGAUAAAUCUCCAGUAGUAGUCGGCCAACCCUAGAAAGCUCCUGAUCUCGGUGGGGGAUCUCGGUACCUCCCAUCUCUUAACAACCUCAAUCUUGGCCGGAUCGACCAAUAUCCCAUUCUGAUUAACGAGAUGUCCCAAAAAAUAGACCUCUCAUAACCAGAAAUCACACUUGGAGAAUUUGGCAUAAAGCCUCUCUGAUCUCAAUACCCCAAGAAUCUCCCUCAGAUGCUCUUCAUGCUGCUCCCUGGAUCUCGAAUACACCAGAAUAUCGUCGAUGAACACAAUCACUGAUCGGUCCAACAUCGGUCUGCAUACGCAGUUCAUGAGAUCCAUGAACGUUGUUGGUGCAUUGGAGAGCCUGAAAGGCAUCACCACGAACUCGUAAUGCCCAUAACGAGUCCUAAUCACCGUCUUUUGGAUAUCCUCAUCUCGCACCCUCAUUUGGUGAUAUCCCAACCUUAAGUCUAUCUUGGAGAACCAAGAAGCUCCCUGCAAUUGAUUGAACAAAUCGUCGAUCCUCGGUAGUGGAUAACGGUUCUUGACCGUCAACUUGUUCAAAUCCCGUUAAUCAAUUCACAUUCAGUGUGAACCAUCCUUUUUCUUGACAAAAAGGAUUGGCUCUCCCCACGGCGAGCUACUCGGUCGAAUGAAUCCCUUCCCCAACAGCUCCUGAAGUUGCGAGGAUAACUCAUGUAUCUCUGGUGGCGCAAGGCGAUAAGGUGCCUUGGCAAUAGGCACAACACCCGGAAUCAAAUCGAUGCGAAACUCCACCUGCCUCUCGGGAGGCACACCCGCCAACUUCUCGGGGAAAACAUUCGGAAACUCUCGUAGUAUCGGAACCUCGCUGAACGAACUCGGCCUCUCUGCGAAAACUCGUGUAUCCAUCACAUAGGCUACAAACCCUCUAUCGCCACUAGAGUAACACACUUGUACUUUCCGGUUCCCAUGCUCGUCUAGAUCACAAUCUUUACUAAGGUGAGGCACGCUACAAUUAUCACAUCCCACCCUGAUGGCAUGGAUGGAUUGAUCCAUCUUUGUCAUUCUUCGGUCCAAACUGUCUAAUUUAGCCAUCACCGCUGCCAUAUUAUCAGAAAUUAAGUUCAUCGUCCCUCGAGUCGAGUCAUUUCUUGGGUUAUGAUACUCUCUAGAGUGCUUAGAGAAUUCUUCAAUUGGUGCCUUUAUAACCGCGGGUGCUUUCUUCCUGAGUGGUCCUUGGGAGUCAAGGAGCUGCCUAGUUGUCACGUUCACUUCAUCAUAGAAAAUGGAGACUUCUUAUUGAAUGUUUAAAUCAUUAUGGGGGUAGUUCCUCAACAAGCCUUUGUAUAUUUCCCAUGCCUCAUAGAGUGACUCGCCUGCUUGUUGCUCGAAUUUGCAAUGAUUUUUUUCAACUUUUCUAUUUUUGAGGGAAAAUCGAUCAAUAAAUUCUUCACGCAUUUUGGCUCAUGUGGUGAUGGAUCCUGGAAAGAGUGAUUUCAGCCAAUCUUUCACGACACCCUUGAAUGUGGCCGGUAGCAUCCGGAGCAUGAAAAUAUCGUGAGGAACAUUAGGGAUAUUGAAGUAGUCGGCUAUGUCGUUGACCUCGUCGAUAUGUUUGUAUGUUUCUUCAUGAUCUUUCCCGUUGAAUGAGACGUCCCCGAGUUGGGCGAGUAUGUGACCUUUCAAUUCAAAGUUGGCAGUUACUGGAAUCGCGAGUUGCACGAGUCCUAGCCCAGUAUCGUCACGCAUCCUUCUCUCAUUACUAGAAUAUAUGCCUUUAAUGACACGCAAUUUACGACACUCGUUGAUUUAUGAUGCGCAAUAGAGAGUGACCUUAAAAUAGUGUGAUCUCUCCAAAACUUUUAAGGAUUUAAGUCAUGUAUUAUUGUGUGCCCUUAAAUUAGUAUCUCAAGAAAAAAAAAUUAAAAACACGGAGGGCGAUUUAUCUUAAACGUGUGUCCUCUAUAGGUGUCGAUUUAUAAUUAUAGUGAAACGCACCUUGAGCAGAUAACGUGGGGAAAAGGAAACCCUAAAAUUUUGAAAACCCGCGUUGUUCCUUCUUGUUUGGAUCUUCACAAUUCACUCUCCCCUCUUGUUUCUCUAUUGUGAGAAGUGACGGAAAGAAGGGAGACUGGGAUAGAUCUGCCGGUGAUGAUGAAAGGAGGUGUUUUCCGGUCAACUUCAGAGAUGGCGUUGUCGAUUUCGAUGGUGGUGUCGGCUUACAUGCGUGAAUCCUUCGAAACAAGGAAUCAAAUCCACCAUUUUUUCUUCUUGGUAUCGAAAAAUAUGUUUCAAAGGGGUGAAAUCCAUAUCUUUGAUACUUAUGCUUACCUCUCGAUUUCGGAUUGCUUAAAAAAGAACAAUAGGAGAGUGAACGAUGGGAAUCGUCAGGAAUUUGAGUUCUGACGUGCUUCAAUUCUUCAAUUAUCAAGGUAAUGAGCUUCUUCUUCUCUUCCCCCAACCCCUAAGUGUUUCCUGGUGAGUUUUUUUAGUGAUUUGCCUAAAAUGAUUAACAUUUGACAGAAUCCAUAUGUUCUUAUCAUUUACACAUUCAUUCUUCUCUUCUCUUCUCUUCUCUUCUCUUCAAUAUACUAAACAAAGAGGAAUACUGCCCUUUUCUAUGAUUAGUUUUCUAAUGUCUUGUACAUGCUAUCAAGUAUCAAAUAGUUUGGUUUUGGUAUGUUGUACAUACCACCACCUGAUUCAUUUAGUUUUCCAAUGCAAAAACAUUGGAAGUUAAUUUAACUAUUAUUCCUACUACCAAGGAUUUACUAGUAAAGGGGUGGUUACCUGACAAUGGUUAAUUGGAAAUUUGCAGGAGAUCCAUGAAGUGCUAGAAUUUUUCGUGAUGAUGAAGGGGGGACAUUUAUUUGGAAUUUUUUCAGUGAAAAUUUCUAAUGAUGGCAGAGAACUUGUAGUUGGAAGCAAUCAUGAUUCAAUCUAUUGAUUGUUUUAUGGUGAUUUUCUAUAAAAAUCUUGAUUUAUGAUUAUGGAUUGGUUGCAUCUUGUGUAAGUCCCAGUUAGGGUUGCUGGAGGUUUAUUGUUUCCAUUGCAGAAUGUCGAUAAUUGAUGCAUAUCAAGAUAUUAUUGAUGCAUAUGGGUAAACCUAAAUCUCAUUCUCACAACUUAAAAUACUUUUUAAUUUAAUUAUAUUAGUAACAAAUUGUUUUACUUUUUACAGGGUUGCUAAAUAUCAGGAAGCAAAUCCAACAGUUUUUACUGUAAUCACUUUUCCAUUUCUUUUUGCUAUCAUGUUUGGAGAUUGGGGUCAUGGAAUUUGUUUAUUUUUUGGAGCUUUGUUUCUCAUAUCUCAUGAAACAAAGCUUAGUUCUCAUCUCAAGUAUCUCUUCAAUCUGCUAAGAUUUUUUUUUGUCAUUUGGUAUUUUAUAUAAUAAAAAAUUUUGGUUUUAUCUGCAGAAACUUGGGAGUUUCAUGGAGAUGUUAUUUGGUGGGCGUUAUGAACUCCUUUUAAUGUCUGUAUUUUCCAUUUACCUGGUUUAAUAUACAAUGAAUUCUUCUAUGUUCCUUUUCACAUAUUUGGGGCAUCUGCAUAUAAAUGUCGUGACACCUCAUGCAGGUAUUUAAAGUUUAAAUUUAGAUUUCCUCUUUCUUUUUCCUUUCAAUGUGUUCAUAAUAUAAGCUCAACAUAUUAUUUAUGAUAUCUGUAUGUUAAACAACAUUGAUGCAUAUACAAUUGGUUUAAUCAAAUAUGGUGACACGUAUCCAUUUGGUGUGGAUCCUGGUUGGCGUGGAAGCCGAUCAGAGCUACCUUUUUAAACUCUCUGAAAAUGAAAAUGUCUAUUUUAUUCGGUGUUGCACAAAUGAAUCUUGGAAUCUUUUUAAGCUACUUCAAUUCAAUUUUCUUCAACAAUUCAUUAGACAUCAGGUAUCAAUUUGGUGUGGAUCCUAGUUGAGUUUUUACGAACUUUAUUUGGUAUUGGUUAAUAUUUCUUUCCAAAUUCAUGUACUUUUAUCAAUCUUUUCCUUACAUUAUAUGAUUAGAGAAGAUUCUGAUAUGAAAAUAGGUCAUUACAAAUCAUCACUUUGUGCAUAUCUUUUAUCAUAUAGGAAUCCUUAUCUCUCUGAAGGAACUAGAUAGGUUAUUGCUCUCUUUAUUUCUUCCACCCUUAUCGGUAUUAUUAAAUAAAUGAGAAUAAAAUCUUUAAUCUUUUUCUCCUGAUUCAUCCAUGAAUCUUAUCAGGCUGCAGCAACUACAACAACUACAACUGCUUUGGCCAAGAAAUAUGGUGUUGAAAUACGGUUUCAGUUAUGAUGAAGAAGUGACUUACUUAGAAGAUGGUGUUAGAUCUUCAUAUUUGUUGUAAUAAUUGAUUAUUAUAUUAUGCUUUAUUUAGCUUUUUCAACCGAAAUACCAAUUGAUGCUGGAACACCCACGAGAAGUCCUUUGAAGCUGAUAAAUAUUCCUUGAUCAAAUGUAUAUUCUUUUCAGCUCAUGUAAAUUUUCUUAUGAUAAAAAAAUAUCAGUCCAUUACUUAGUCCAUUGCUUCAUGCGCUAUAUGUCAAGAAUUCUACAGGUGAACAGGUAAUAAUUCAUUGAUUUGUGCUCUAUCACAUUAGUCCAUUACGUAACCAUUUUUUUGUGUAGAUUCCUUGUUUGAUCUUGGGUGUGCUUGGCUACAUAUUGGGUGUGUUUGUUCUUAGGUCCGGAUUUCUAUAAGAGUAUUAAUUGGGCAUGAAGUAUUAAUUGCUGGAAAAAACUUGGUUCUUAAUUAAAUACAAAGAAACGUCAUACCCUAUUCAUACUAAGUCCAAAAGAGUCCUACUCAUACACAAAAACUAGAAGAAAAACUAUUAAAUAAAAAAAUUCUGAAAAUACCCCUAUAUCUUAUUUUUUGAAUUAUCUUAAUAGUUAAUACAAACGCUUAUUAUCUGCAAGUCCAUCCAUAUUCAAUGUUAAGGAGAAGUAAUUAAUAUAAUUAAAUCAUUUUAGUUGGUUUUCAGCUUGAAGAAACUCCUUGUUUGCUUGCUCCUGGAAAUGAUGAUUCAGCAAAGGUGAUUGAUGUUGGCUUAAGGGCAGUUUUGUCAUUACCGUAGUGGAUCAGAAGACAAUAUCAAAGUGGGCUAAAAAGGUACUCUAUUUUGUCUGUUUUGAUGUUCAUUGUAUUGGUUGCGUGGGUUUCUCUUGUUGGAUAAAGAUGUUAUCUCAUUCUUUCAUAGUUCUUUCUAGUGUGGACACCAUUUUUUUAUUAUAUGCAUACCAAAUUGUCAAUCUUCAUGGCACUCCAUCUAUCUGUAAUCCAAAUAUUAAAUAUACCUAUGGCAGCUCAAUGGAUAUGUCUAGUUGUUGCUCCAUUUGAAAUCUUUCCUGAUCACCAUAAUAAUCUUAUCACGCACAUUUGUUUGCCAACUCACUUGUCAAAGCUUUGGAACACAGUAGGAUUUAUUGAAUUAUCUUUUUUUUUUUGGAAAUCUGAUUAUGAUCAUGUUUUCGAUUUCAGGGUAAAGAAUUUGAUGUAGACUCAAGAAAAUGUUAAGAGAUUAUUAUUUGGCCAAAGAUCUAGCUAUUAAAGGUUCUUUCUCAUACUAAUAUUGAUGGGUUUGAGCCAUAAGAACAUUCCUAUGUGCACAUACAAACCCUAAUGCUUGGAUCUAGGUUUCUCUAAUUGAACAUGCAAUAAUUCCAAGACUUUGAUUGAUAAAUCUAGUAUAACAAACUAAGAAAUCAGAUCUGAAAGAUUACCUUGAAUUACUUGCUAGAAUCUUCUUGUCCUUGGAGCUUAGAGUCACAAAUGUCACUCCUCUAAUGGCUUACAAACACCAACUUAGCAAGAGUAUGAUUAGAGAGAGAGGGGAGGGUAAGAAAAGUCGGCCAGGGUUUCUUCAAAGGCAAGAGUGCCGAUUUCCUUGACCCCAUGGGUCUAUUUAUACUAGUGAGGCUCCUAGGGUUUCACCCUUAAAACCCUAAUUGGAUAACUUAGGCCCUAAACAAUCCAAUCUCCUUAUAGAUAAGCCUUUGACGAUUUUUAGGUCCUUCCAAACCCCAAAACCGUCCACCCCUUAUCCAUGAGNGUACAACUAUCAUACAAUUGACAGUUUAUGCCCUUUUAUUUAAUUAAUCUCUUUAAGUCACCAAAUUAAUUCCUAAUUAAUUUAUGACUUAUAUUAAUCAAAUAACAAUAUUAUUAUUCCUUAUAUUAUUCUCAUAAUAUAUUAAUAAUAUUUCUUCUCUCAUUAUAAAUCAUCCUGUCAAGUUGCUAUGGUGAAGGCAACCCAAAAGGACCAUGCACAACCGGGUCAAAUACUUGCCUAAUAUAGUUGCAGCCUUAGACACUAUUCCAACAGUCUCCCACUUGGAUAAGUCUAGUAACUAUAUACACAAGCAUAAUCCAAUUAGCAAUCGUAGCUCUCAAAGAAGAUGUCAAACUCUGAUCUUAUCAAUCUUGUCCUUUAGAUAAGGGAUCAUACAAUCCUCUGUUUAGAUAUCAUGCGGACAAUUCUAUGGAAUUAAUUGUCCAGCAGUUGGUUUCUCGAUCUCAGAUUUAUUUGGCAUAGAACUUAAUCGAACAUAUCAAUUCAAUUCUGACCGGGCUCGGCACAUAAGUCAAAUCAAAUAAUCGAGCGGCCGAGAUAUCGCUUUUACAUUCUUAGGAUAAAAGUAACAAAUAACUUCGACUUAUAUGCAUUUACUUAUUCAUUAAUUAAUUAUACACAACAAUGCGUUUUAUAACAUCAAUUUACUGAUGCGGUUUCGCAUUAUCAAUGUACAACCAAUUAACAAAUAACAAACCAUAUAUCUAGGUUUUAAGACCAUAUGAUAUUAUCGUCUUGCGAUCAACCUUUUCGUCAGAUUCCAUAAGGUGAUUCCAGCAAGCGCGGGUUUGUUCCAAUGCUCAAAACUAGUUCAUAAGCACUCAUGAACGUUGCAGCAAACUUUUGCUAUGUCUAAUGCCAUUUAGACAAUCUACACACCAAUUCAUGACAAUCUUCAUUCAUACCUACUUCCAACAUAUGAACGAUUGUGGAUUGUUUGAAUAAUUCGAUUAUUUUAAAUAACUCAAUUAUUCAGGAAGUCAAAACAUGCAAAGUGAAACAAUAGUUAAACAAUUAACAUAAGACAGUAGCUUUACUUAUAAAUAAUACUCCUUUAUGUAAUCAUCAAAUGUUAAUUAUAUUUAUCUAUUACAAGUUUCUAAAACUAUCUAAUCUAAUCUAAUAUCAUCUCUCAGUCCAAUACUCCUAGUAUGCUGCAAAUGCUUAACCCUACUCAGUCCCUUCAUAAGCGGAUCUGCUGGGUUAUCUUCUGAUGAUAUCCUCUUAACCACGAGUUGUCCUUCUUCUACACGAUGUCUAAUAAAGUGAUACUUUCUGUCGAUAUGACGAGAUCUACCAUGAUCCCUUGGUUCCUUGGUCAAGGCAACCGCUCCUUCAUUAUCACAGAAAAUUUCCAUAGGCUCCUUUAUGGCAGGCACAACUCCAAGAUCACCAAUGAAGUUCUUCAACCAUAUUGCCUCCUUCGACGCUUCGCUCGCUGCAAUGUACUCUGAUUCGCACGUUGAAUCAGCUACGGUUUCCUGCUUGGAACUNNNNNNNNNNNNNNNNNNNNNNNNNNNNNNNNNNNNNNNNNNNNNNNNNNNNNNNNNNNNNNNNNNNNNNNNNNNNNNNNNNNNNNNNNNNNNNNNNNNNNNNNNNNNNNNNNNNNNNNNNNNNNNNNNNNNNNNNNNNNNNNNNNNNNNNNNNNNNNNNNNNNNNNNNNNNNNNNNNNNNNNNNNNNNNNNNNNNNNNNNNNNNNNNNNNNNNNNNNNNNNNNNNNNNNNNNNNNNNNNNNNNNNNNNNNNNNNNNNNNNNNNNNNNNNNNNNNNNNNNNNNNNNNNNNNNNNNNNNNNNNNNNNNNNNNNNNNNNNNNNNNNNNNNNNNNNNNNNNNNNNNNNNNNNNNNNNNNNNNNNNNNNNNNNNNNNNNNNNNNNNNNNNNNNNNNNNNNNNNNNNNNNNNNNNNNNNNNNNNNNNNNNNNNNNNNNNNNNNNNNNNNNNNNNNNNNNNNNNNNNNNNNNNNNNNNNNNNNNUGAUUAGAUUUAUUCUUCCAUGCUCCACAUCCCUAUUUCUUCUUAGUCCCUGCAAUUCAGAACAAAUGUGGUAACCACACCCGGUAUCGAGGACCCAAGAAAUAGCAUGAGAUAAAUCAUUAGAUUUAAUCGUGUAUAUACCUGCGAAAGACGGCUUGAUCUUUCCUUCCCUGAUGGCUUGCAAGUAUUUUGGGCAGCUUCUCUUCCAAUGCCCUAUUUUGUGGCAAUGGUGGCACUCUGCCUCCUUUGGGUUAGGGUUAGGCUUGGCAGGACCAACUUUGGUCCGACUAGAAGAGGAACCAUCUUGGGACUUUCCCUUGCGGUGGCUCUUGGACGGAGCCUUCCUCUUCUUGCCUCUUCCCUGCCCAAUGGCCAAAACAGGAGCAGCGGGUGGAUUGGAAGUGGGUGCAACUGACUUGUCCUUGAAGUUGCUCUCAGCAACCCUAAGGAGACCUUGGAGCUUACUUAGGGUGACCUCUUCAUUGUUCAUGUGGUAGGUCAUCCUAAAUUGGUUGUAACACGGAGGCAAGGAAUGGAGUACCAUUUCGAUAGCCAAAUCUUCCCCAAAGUCGACAUUCAACUUGCGAAGACGAUCGACAUACCUUUGCAUCUUUUGCAAGUGUACGGUUAGAGAUUCCCCAUGUCCCAUCUUAGCAGAGAUCAUGUUAGUGAAAAUAUCGUAACGUUCCUGCCUCGUGUUUUGAUAGUAUCUCUCCAAUAAGUCUUGAUGCAUCUCGUACGGGUACAUGUCCUCAUAGGACUUUUGGAAUUUAGCGUUCAUUGUGGCUAUCAUGAUGCAAUGAACCUUCAUUGCAUCACACUCAUGAGUUUCAAAAGCAGCCAUUUCAUCUGGAGUAGUGAUUUCUGGAUUGAUCUUCUCGAGCUUUUCGUCGAGGACAUACUCCUUGUCCUCAUAGCGAGCAAUUGUGCGAAUGUAUCUUAUCCAUUCGCUAAAGUUCGUUCCAUCAAAAGUCACCUUUUGGCAAAGACUCAUCAAUGUGAAUGAACUAGCAACAGCGUUAUUCGCGUUAGACAUCUACAAAUAGAAAGGACAAAGAUUGAUUAGAAUUUGAAUCCCUAAUUAUCACCCAAUAAGAAAAAUUAGGGCUAGGAUCCAACAACAUUAUUUACAUAUUAGAAAAGGGAUGUCGUAAUCCAACAUGCAAACAAUUUGAAGGUAAGUGAAUGACGAUUCACUAAUUCACUAAGUUCUAAAUGUAUUGAGAAUUCCUAGUUUUCGAUGAGAUUCAUUGAACUUUUCAAUGGCAUGUUUAAAUCUCAAUAUGCCCCUCUCGUUUGUGACUGGGAUGCCGAGGAUCACAAAGUGGAUGUGAAUAACCAUGCAAAUCUACAUGGUGCCUUCAUUGUAACAAUCACCUAUUUGAUGUGCCGGUAAACCACACACGCUCCAUCGAACUAUGAUAAACAAUGAAUCACCCUUUGCCACCUUUGCUUAGAACCAAUUAGUGUGCCGGUAAACCACACACGCUCCACUAACUUCUUAGCAAGGGUGCAAAGUGUAAUUUCAUGGGAUUGCAUCAAUUCACUUUUCCUAAAGUAACUAAGAUUGGGAAUUUUUGAAAAAUGUGUAGUUACUUUGUAUUACUUAUUAUACUUUUAAUGAGAGGAUGAGGUUGCCCUAUCCUACCCGUUCGGCUAACGACCCUCCACCAGUCAAGCAAGCGGUAUGUGUGAGUGUACACCCAUCGAGCGCCAUUUUAUAGGUAGCAACCUUAUACCCACAUUAUAUACCGGCUUCGUGAAUGAGGCCUACUAACGGUAAGACUAGCAUUUUANNNNNNNNNNNNNNNNNNNNNNNNNNNNNNNNNNNNNNNNNNNNNNNNNNNNNNNNNNNNNNNNNNNNNNNNNNNNNNNNNNNNNNNNNNNNNNNNNNNNNNNNNNNNNNNNNNNNNNNNNNNNNNNNNNNNNNNNNNNNNNNNNNNNNNNNNNNNNNNNNNNNNNNNNNNNNNNNNNNNNNNNNNNNNNNNNNNNNNNNNNNNNNNNNNNNNNNNNNNNNNNNNNNNNNNNNNNNNNNNNNNNNNNNNNNNNNNNNNNNNNNNNNNNNNNNNNNNNNNNNNNNNNNNNNNNNNNNNNNNNNNNNNNNNNNNNNNNNNNNNNNNNNNNNNNNNNNNNNNNNNNNNNNNNNNNNNNNNNNNNNNNNNNNNNNNNNNNNNNNNNNNNNNNNNNNNNNNNNNNNNNNNNNNNNNNNNNNNNNNNNNNNNNNNNNNNNNNNNNNNNNNNNNNNNNNNNNNNNNNNNNNNNNNNNNNNNNNNNNNNNNNNNNNNNNNNNNNNNNNNNNNNNNNNNNNNNNNNNNNNNNNNNNNNNNNNNNNNNNNNNNNNNNNNNNNNNNNNNNNNNNNNNNNNNNNNNNNNNNNNNNNNNNNNNNNNNNNNNNNNNNNNNNNNNNNNNNNNNNNNNNNNNNNNNNNNNNNNNNNNNNNNNNNNNNNNNNNNNNNNNNNNNNNNNNNNNNNNNNNNNNNNNNNNNNNNNNNNNNNNNNNNNNNNNNNNNNNNNNNNNNNNNNNNNNNNNNNNNNNNNNNNNNNNNNNNNNNNNNNNNNNNNNNNNNNNNNNNNNNNNNNNNNNNNNNNNNNNNNNNNNNNNNNNNNNNNNNNNNNNNNNNNNNNNNNNNNNNNNNNNNNNNNNNNNNNNNNNNNNNNNNNNNNNNNNNNNNNNNNNNUGGGUUUCUCUUGUUGGAUAAAGAUGUUAUCUCAUUCUUUCAUAGUUCUUUCUAGUGUGGACACCAUUUUUUUAUUAUAUGCAUACCAAAUUGUCAAUCUUCAUGGCACUCCAUCUAUCUGUAAUCCAAAUAUUAAAUAUACCUAUGGCAGCUCAAUGGAUAUGUCUAGUUGUUGCUCCAUUUGAAAUCUUUCCUGAUCACCAUAAUAAUCUUAUCACGCACAUUUGUUUGCCAACUCACUUGUCAAAGCUUUGGAACACAGUAGGAUUUAUUGAAUUAUCUUUUUUUUUUUUUGGAAAUCUGAUUAUGAUCAUGUUUUCGAUUUCAGGGUAAAGAAUUUGAUGUAGACUCAAGAAAAUGUUAAGAGAUUAUUAUUUGGCCAAAGAUCUAGCUAUUAAAGGUUCUUUCUCAUACUAAUAUUGAUGGGUUUGAGCCAUAAGAACAUUCCUAUGUGCACAUACAAACCCUAAUGCUUGGAUCUAGGUUUCUCUAAUUGAACAUGCAAUAAUUCCAAGACUUUGAUUGAUAAAUCUAGUAUAACAAACUAAGAAAUCAGAUCUGAAAGAUUACCUUGAAUUACUUGCUAGAAUCUUCUUGUCCUUGGAGUUUAGAGUCACAAAUGNGAGAGGAGGGUGAGAAAUCGGCCAGGGUUACUCCAAUAACAAGGGUGCCGAUUUCCUCAACCCUAUGGGUCUUAUUUAUACUAGUGAGCUCCUAGGGUUUCACCCUUAAAACCCUAAUUGGAUAACUUAGGCCCUAAACAAUCCAAUCUCCUUAUAGAUAAGCCUUGGAUGAUUUCUAGGUCCUUCCAAACCCCAACACCGUCCACCCCUUAUCCCUGAAGGAUUAUAGCCCAAAAUACAACUACCAUAUAAUUGACAGUUUAUGCCCUUUUAUUUAAUUAAUCUCUUUAAGUCACCAAAUUAAUUCCUAAUUAAUUUAUGACUUAUAUUAAUCAAAUAACAAUAUUAUUAUUCCUUAUAUUAUUCUCAUAAUAUAUUAAUAAUAUUUCUUCUCUCAUUAUAAAUCAUCCUGUCAAGUUGCUAUGGUGAAGGCAACCCAAAAGGACAAUGCUCAAUCGGGUCAAAUACUUGCCUAACUAAAUUUGAUAUUAUUCAUUAAUUUUAUAGAAGCAUGUUAAUGGUGAGUCUCAACUAUUCUUUUCCUCCUAUAUUUAUUUGUGUAAUUCUCAACUAUUCUUUUCCUCCUCUAUUUAUUUGUGAAGGUGAACACAUCUGCAACUCAUAGCAAUACAGGCUUGUAUGCAACUCAUAACAUACAUAUUCAUGCUGGUAAGUUAACUCAAUUUGCCUUCACAUAAGCUAUAUAUAUAUAUAUAUAUAUAUAUAUAUANNNNNNNNNNNNNNNNNNNNNNNNNNNNNNNNNNNNNUUCUCAUAUGUAUCUUUUUAACAGGAAUAGGUCCAAGGGCAACUAAUGUUGAAUCAUCAAAUCAAGCAAAUGUUGAUCUUAUAAUGUUGUUCUUUUACAAUGUUGUUCUUUUACAGGUGGUUGGAAUUGGACCUAAAGUUGGUUGUUGAUAUAGGAAUAGUGGGUGCUCCAAAUGCAGGAAAAAAGCAAGUUUUUAAGUUUUAUUAGUGUUGACAUGUAGUGUUGUUUUGACAUGUAAUGUUAGGUAACUUGUUUGACAUGUGAUAUUUUUUUGAAACGAAAUAUCGUUCUUAUGUAUGGUUAUUUAUUUUGUGUUAUGAUAAUUUCAAUCUGUUGUUUAAUUUGAAAAUUAGUAAUUCUAUCAAAUAUAUAUAUAUAUAUAUAUAUAUAUAUAUAUAUAUAACAAUUCAAAUUAUGACACACAAAUACAUGUCAUCUUUAUUUAUGAUAGGGGCUUUAAUGAUACGCAAUGUGUGUCCUAAACGCACAUCGUAAGGUUACGAUGCGCAAACGCGUGUUGUCUUCCUUUAUGACAGGGCCUUCCUUGUUACACAUUGCGUGUCGUAACUGUGCGUCGUAAAUGCGUGUUGUAAAUGCGCGUCGUAAAUAGAUGACACGCAAAAGCGUGUCGUCUCUCGUUAUGACAGGGCCUUCCUUGACACACAUUUGUGCGUCAUCUGAGCGUUUUACAACACGCAUUGCGCGUCGUAAAAGGUUGUUUCUCUAGUAGUGUCUUGUACUCACCCAUGGGUAUGCUUGCAAUGUCCCCCAUGGUGUUAUCAGGUUCGCUUUCGUGCUCGCUUCCUUCUUCAAAUUCCGUUUCGUACUCGGAAUCCUCCUUCUUAGGGUCUUCGUCCAUUAGUCUUGUGUUGGAUUCUCCCACGUGCUUUCCCUUUUUCUUGCUAAAAUCCAAUUUGAGAUUCUUGAAAGGCGACUUAUUUGAUUCUCCAACGGUUUUAUCCUUGUCCUUCCUAAGAGCUGAUUUCGGGUUUUCAAGUGGUGGGAUCAAAGGUGUAUUUGAUCCACGGGUCAUAAAAUACCUGAAAUAAAACAGAAAAACACGUGUAAGAAAACAAAGCGAAGUACAAAGGAAACUGAAAAAUGCAAGGGACUCGUCGAGUUGCUUCGACUAGACUCGACGAGUUCAAGGCUAAAACAGAAAGAAAAAACAAAUUUUUUUAAAAAGAAAGAAAAACAAAAACUUAAAAUUAAUAACUAAUUAAAGAAAAUAGUAACUUUGUGCAAGAUAAAUCUUACACAAAGGAUCGACAACACUAGCAAUUAAAAUGAUUAUUUAAAACCGUUCCCCGGCAACGACGCCAAAAAUUUGAUGUGUGUGAAAUGCACUAGUUUUAAUCCUACUAUUUUAAACACAAAUUAAACACACGAAAGACAGUGUACCUAUUGAUUAGCAAUAUAGUUCAAGCAAGUAGGGUAUCGAACACAGGGAACGGUAACAAUUAAACUAACUACUAGAAUUAUCUAAAUAAAAACAAGUAAUAAAAAGAAGGGUUUUCUCUAGUUUUGCAAGACUAGAAACUUAAGCAAUUAACUAACACUCAAACUAAGACAACUAAAGAAAAUAGAAAGUAACUCGAUUCAAUAAUAAAAGAGACUUCUGUUCAAGUUCGACUCACUUAUUCCUAUGUUUGAUUUUAUGGAAAGUGCAAUGGAUUAAUUCACCAUUGGCUACCGAUUAAUGUGAUUAGAUUCAUGUUCACUAUUACUAAUCCUUAGCAAACAAAUUAAUUAAAAAAUUGGUCAAUUGGUUAAACUAACAGGUUUCCUAGUAUUUUGUUUCGGACCAAGUAAGACUUGUAAUGUUAGUUAACUAAUUUGGUUAAAUUAAUCAACUUAUGUAGGGUUGUUCAUCAUACAUGCUUACACGUUGAUGUACUUAUUUUCUAAUUAAUCCAAGGUUCAUGUUCACUAACACUAGGCAUAUAAUAUUGUUUUCACAAAACCAUAUGAUUCAAGCAAUUAAGAUAUUAUUCAUGCAACUCAAUAACUUGAUUAUUAACAGCAAGACAAUUAUUAUCAACACAUAAGGAACUUUAACAAGCUUACAAGACAAUUCACCAAAUUAAUUAAUCCAUACCAUAAAAUCAAACUAUAUUCACAAGUUAAUCUACCCUAAAUAGAGGUGAUGAGUUUUUAGCUCAUAUCUACAACAAUUAACAUCUCAAAAACGAAAUCUAAUGAUAACAACAUAGUUUAUGCAAAAGAUUAAGAAAAUAGAAUAUGUGUUGCCUUUCAAUCUCUUCCCAAUUGGUCUCUAGGGUGAAAUCUCAAAUUCCAGAGCUUCAAGAAUACUUCUAUUCGCCAAUUUGGCGCCAGAAAGAUCUAGAAAAACUUAGGGUAUCGAACAAUAAUGUCCUUUAUAUAGAUUUAUGAAAACAGAGGCAACUCGUCGAGACCAUCACUUAAAUCCCGUGUACGGUAAGGCACCUGAUGGUUCGCGAAUCUUCUCAUCAACUCGUCGACUUGAGGACCAACUCACUGAGUUCUUCACCCUUUUAGCUUAAUUUCUUCUCACUUUAAUUCUCGGACUUCCGAUCACUAGUCCCGCUUCCUUUUUCACUCGAGCACAUCUUUUAGGCUGAAAAUAUAAUUUUAACAUAAUUAAGUACCUUUUGUUCAAUAAUUGAGACAAAAUAGCUAAAAAGUAUUAAGAUGUUGUACGAAAUAUAUGACUAAAUAUGCACAUAUCAGGACUUAUCUUAUGGUCCAACCAUUUAUCCUAGCCCAAACAUUUGGCAUUCCGUUGGUCCAAUAUCUCAUAAUCAUCAAGGCCCAAUUAUGGCCCACCUAUGGCCCAAUUUUCCAAAUUGGGCUCAAUCCUCUCCAAUGGGCCUUAUCCUAAAGCCCAAUAAUUUCCUUAGUCCAUAAACAUGUUCCCCAUUUGGCACACGAAGGCCCACAACAAGUUAGUCCAAGAAAUGGCCAAAUAAGAACCCAAUCUCAAUUAGAGUUUUUCACAUAAAAUGAUGAUUAGGGUUAAGUGUUCCUACUUAACACAUUAAGGACUUAAUCCAUUAAGUCCAUUACUCCACUAGACCAAACUUACAAUGUGGUCGGGCAUAAUUCGAUAUUCCAAAUCCAACGGUCCAAACGCGGGUCCCGACAAAUCCAAAAUACACAUUUCCAAAAUUAGGGUUUUAUAAACCCUAAUUAGGGUUCCCAACCAAAUCACAAAACCAAUUAAUCUAAUAGUUAAGUUUUUACAUUAAUUAAAGUCUAAUCAAGUCGGGUACCACCCACUACCACCCUGGGCAGUGGUGGUUGGUGGUGGUUCACGACGGUAGCCACCACCUCACGGUGGUGGUGGUUAUAUCUUGGGCCAAAACAACACCAAAAGCACUCCAAACAUCAAUCCAAACGCACCCAAAAUCCCACAUCCACCCGAGAUUGUAGCUAGCAGUGGCGGAACGGCGGCAGAAGAUGGCGGCCACCACCUCACGGUGGUGGUGAUGAGUUUCCUUCCGUUUACUGGCCAAGAGAGAUCCAUACAACAUUAAGCCCAUGAAAUAAAUUCAUACACACACUAAUUCAUGCACAUAGCCACCUCCUCACGGUGGCUGGUGGCGGUGAGAGAAAGAGACUUAGUGGCUGCCACCAUGGUUGGCUGCCAUGGUGGUUUGCCUCACCUCCGGCCAAAAUGUCAUCUACCUCGCAAGCUUCACGGUUCUAGUAGCAUACACGCAUAACACGACAUGAGACCACAGCCCUCAGCCACCAACAUGGCGGCUAGCAACGUCAGAGCUAACAGAAACGGCGGUUAAGGCCGGCAGCAACAACGAGGAUGCGACCCAUGUCACACUCAUUGGAAAGAGCAAGGAAUGGAAAAAAAGGGGUGGCAGAAGGCCUUACCCGAGGCUUCCCGGUCGCUCACGAUCAUGCAACAACGAUUAUGGUCCGUUCGUCGGCCUCCGACGGUCAUCUUAGUUGCUCAUAGCGUCUCCGGUAGCGGCACUGUGGCGGGGGCAUUCAUAGGCAAAGUAGCGGCGGAAGAGGGCGUUCCAAAGGUAGUAGCGGUUGGGGAAAUGAUACUUUAGGGUUAGGGUUACCUAUGCUAAAUCUUGAAGCGAGAAGGGAAGGGUGGUAUGGGUCUAAACCCGUGCUCUUUUCAAACAUCCAUCCAUUUUUACAAGUUUGGCCCCUCCUUCGCCAGAACUUUUCAACAUAACCCCAAUAUAUACCAUUUAGCCCCUUAGCCUCCAACUAUUAUUCAAUAUAAGUCCAAUAUUUUACCAAACACCCCCUGACUUCUGAAAAUCUUCACAAAAUAAAUCCUGGAAUUACACUUUAACCCCCAAAAGUCUAAAUUAUAUCAUUUGGCUCCCCGAAACCAACACUCCCCCUAAAGAUUAUUGAUUUGACUAUAAAAUAAUAAUAAAAAUUACAUCUCAAGGCUUUAGAGUUUAUUAUUUAUUUAAUUUAUUUUAAAUGGAAUGUUACACCAACCCAAUUGCAAAAAAGCCUAAAAUGGCAAACCACAUCCCAAUAUGGCCCAACUUCCAAAUUAGAUCUAAAACUAUUAUGGGACCAAUACCAAGAAAGCUCAUAGUCUAACCGUGGCCCAAAGCCAGAAAUCCAAUGGCCCAAAAAGGACCAAACCCCAAAAAGCCCAAAAUGACAUAUUGGGAGUACGCCUCGUGUACCAGAUGGUACACCCCGCAUACUCACCCUCGAAGCGCGGAGUACAAGUCCAUAAUGUACAAAUCAGCAUUAUGUUGAGCGUACACUUACGUACGCUUAACAUACUCCUUAGGCCACCUUUUAACUCCAAUAAGCACUUAAUCGGUUAAGAUAGCAUGCUAAACUCUAAGAUCUGAUUCCAUAAGGCCACUUAUCACGUAAAGUCGACAACUUUACACUAGUGCAUGGCUUAUUGGGACUCAAGAGCUCAAAAAGAACUUAGCAAAUGUCUUAAUACAUGCAUGGGUCAAAAUACUCCAUAAAGAUGACAUUUUUAUGAACAAGUGACCUCCCAAAUGCCAAGAUCCAACAUUCUAAGAUGUUGGAGUAGCUCAUACUCACAAGGAUGACUUUAAGGACUAAAAUGAACCGAAAAUACUCCUUAAACUAGAUCUAACACCUAGAGUCAUCAAUGUAGAAACUUUAUACCUCCAAAAGGUAGAUCAAGGUGCAACAAGCCUGGAUCCAAAAGCUUCAAUCAAUCCCACACUUCUCCAAGAAGUUCCUUGAACACCAAAAUGCAUGAAAUACCACCAAAAGCUUAAAAACCACUCAAAUGGGGCUAGAGUUUUGUCUCUAGGGUUUAGAGGGAUGGAGGCAGAAGAUAAUAGGGUUUGGUGGUGAGUUAAGGAGCUUAAAUAGGGUCUAAGACCCUAAAUUAGGGUUUGGGUAUGACUGGAGUACGUCCUACGUACUUCUGGUACGCCCAACAUACUCCUUUAAGCAUCCACGAUCAUUCUACCUAGUACGUCUGGCAUACUCCUACGUACGCCAAAUGUACUAGGCUUAACACUAAUACGCCCAACAUACACUUAUGUACGUCCCGAGUACUAGGUUUAACUCUAAUACCACCAAACUUCCGAAGGCUAUAACUUCCUCGUUAUAAGUCUGAUUCUGACGAUCCUUAUAUCCACGGAAAGGUAACUUGAAUCUCUACAAUUCUAUCAAAUCAUCCUUGCCUUAAAACUUCCCGAACAAAAAUCCAAUAUUCAUAAAAGCCUGAAGUGACACUUUACCAAUAUACCGCUUGGCUCCAAAACACAAACCGAACUCUCAGAUCACCUAAAUCACAUUAACCACACCCAAAUGGGUCUGAAUCUCUUUUCCCCAAAGACCUUAAGCCUGAAGGUAACCCGUCUUCAAGCCACAACCCCGAAUUCGGAAACAAUUUGGAACAGGGCGUUACAAACACACACACAUACACACAUACACACACACACACACACACACAUAUAUAUAUAUAUAUAUAUAUAUAUAUUUGUAUUAUAUGGCAUAAUAUUUAUAUCCAUGAUUUUUUCCUUCUUAAUGUAGUUCAAAAAAGAAAAAGUCAACAUCUCCUAAUUCAAUGACAAAUCAUUUUUCACUUGAGUUCUUGACUGUUCAUGAGUUGAUGGGUUUAUUGGAUUUUCUCAAUCCAUUAGUUAAGCAAUUUAAAAUGGCACGUGUCGAUUUGGAUCAAGUCUAACAGAGCGUAUUAGGCUUAAGAUGAUUGUGACAAGAGAAAAGGAUGGUAAGCAUUAUAAUAUUCCUACCACAAGUGAGGUGCCUGCACUCAAUAUAGGUGAUAUUGAUGGUUUCGAUUCACGAGAUAUUGUUUUGGAAAUACAUAGUUGACAUCUUCAACAUAUUAAUGAGUUUCAUCCUAAAUAUCUUUCACUUCAAGACCAUUGUAUUUGGAGGUGACUUUCGAUAGAUUCUUCUAGUAAUACAAAGAGGAAAUCGUUAAGAUAUUGUCCAGGCAUCAUUGCAUUCAUCAAGAUUAUGGCGUGAAUGUACAAUUUUACGUUUGUGUUGAAGUGUUCAAUCGAGUACAAGGAUCAAAUCAGAGUAAAACAAUGUAAUAUGAACACACGAAGUAAAUAAGAUCUGGUUUUAGCUCAUAUUACUUCCAAUGAACACAAGUACAAAAAUGAUAGUAAAACAGGGAAAAACUCUACUAUCAACUCUAUGUUCAACUCCUAUUUAUAGGAGGCUGAAAGUACAAAAAAAUACUAAGGCUAGACACUACGCUUCGUUAAAAUAUGCCUUAGCAAAUACAUAGAAAAUAUACGAAGUAGAUAAUUACACAUACUUCGACAUAUUACAAGACAUUUCGACUCUACAAUCUCCCCCUUUUUAAUCAUGUAGAACUUCUCAAUUCGUGGGAAUCUGUGCAGCAAAAUACAUCAUCCUUCGUAUCUCUGAGUACCAAUUUAUUAUCUUCAUUAACUCAACUCUAUCUCCAUCAUUGUUCUUCUUGCAAUUAUUCAUACGAACAAUGAAGUUUGUAUAUAGUGAUGUAGUAUAUCUUUCCACUUCACCUGCUUGAAAUAGAAACCUCUUAGCCUUGCCAUUCUUAUCUUUCCCAGCAAAGACUAAUCCAAAAGGUUUUAAACAAAUUUCCUCAGUUCAGCUUGAGUCUUCGAUAAUUCCAUAACAACCUUUACUUCCCUAUCCAUUGCUAAUGCUAACUCCUCAUUAGUCAAUGAUAGACAAUCAUAGUAAUUAUCUAUGAAGAUUUUGAUGUGUGCAAGACCAAGCCUCAAAACAUUCUUGUCAGUCCCUUGAAGUUGCGAAGCUUCCAUGUCUUUCAAAAUUAAUGCAACUUGAAUCAGGUCAUUCAAGUUCAUUAGUGGAAAAUCAGCAACUGAGAAAUCACACACUUGAUUGUUCGCCCUUACAGCAUGAUAUCGAAAAUUUUGUAUCAUAUUCUCGAACAAUACAUCUUUUGUUAUGCUGAUCACCUUCUCUAUCUUCACCAAUGACAAUAUUUCUUCUGGUUCUUUUCUAACAACUACAUGAAACCUAAGUUUCAUAUGGAUAAAAUCAUCCUCAUUUUCGAACUUCUCAACAAUCUUGUACUAAGCCAUGAUGAACAUCAUUUCAUUCACUAGAAAAUCAAGCUGAUUCAUAUCAGUAUUAGUGAUAUAGUAGCUUUUUUGGCUUUUUCUCAAAUGCAUACAUUCGAUUGUAAGUAACUCUUGCUUCGAUAUUCUCAUAGCUAUACAACUUCGUUGGAUCUCCCUUAUCCAUACUAGGUGGAUCACUUUCACGAAGUCUUAGUAUGCUUUGUAUGUGGCUUUGUUUCUUCAUUUCAGCUUCAAUUUCAGCCUUUCUCCCUUCUUUCGAUUUUUCAAUCAGAAUCCCCUUCCCUUUAUCAUCAUCUUCAGAAGAAUUUGUUUUAGAAGAACUUGAACUUCCUCCCCCAGUAGAAGAACCACUAAUAAUUCCCUUCAGAAUAGGUCUUAUUGUUGUCUUGAUGGCUUCUAUUGUAAUCACCUCUGAAACUAUAGGUGUUGGAACUUGAGUAGAUACAACUUUUGUUACAUCACCAGUUGUUACAAUCUUCUCAAUCUUUUUCGACUUGUCAACCCCUUUUGUAAUUUUUGAAGAUUUGUCAUCUUGAGCUUGCUUUUCUCCCCCUUGCAUCCUUAUGACAAUAGGAGGAGCACCAGUUGGCAACAUGUUGGCAAAUUUCGUAAUUGGAGCAACAACCUUCUGAAUAGCUUGAUCCAAACCAUGUAACUUUUGAGUUGAAAAUUUAGGAGUUAAGAAGGACUGUGGAGCAGGCUUUGAGACAACUUCUUUAAGCUGACCAAGUAACACCUUCAAAUGGUCAAACUAAGCCUUAUCUUCUUUAUCCUUGGCUUCGAAAGAAUGAAUAAUUGACUGAAAAGUCAGAACAAAAUUUGUAACUGCUGCUGCUAUGAUGUCAACCUUCAAAAGAAUGGAUGAGUAGUUAGUAUUCAAAGUGUUUAAUUCUUUCGAUACAUCAACCUUUAACUCUUCUAGCUUCUGAUUAACAUCCUCACAAACUUUCUUAACAUCUUGAACAAAAAGUACAUGACGUUCUUUGCAACAUUUCGAAGCUCCUUAAUUUAUGAGCCAAACAAUGCAGAUUGAGCUUUGACUCGUAACUCAUUAUUCUGAUCAAUUACAUCCAUCUGCCUUUGCAUUCUGAGUUCAAUAGCCUUAAUCAUUACAUCAACUUCUAUCCCCAAAACCGAAUUCUUGUCUCCAAAAUCAGAUUGUGACUGAAGAAUAGAAUUGAGUUUUCGAUUGAGAAUCUUAAAUUGCUUCCCCGACAUCAGUAUAUGAUCAGGUAUGUUCUCCUCUUCAGAAUCAAAUUCCAAAUCAGCAAAGGUUCCUCCGAAACCUCCUCCAUCUGUUUCAUCAUCAGAAUUUGGUUUUUGUGGAUCGGUGGAUUGUGAUGGGAAUAGUGUAGUGAAAGGUUGUUGUAAUACUUGAUCAAAAGUUGGUGAAGUAGUGGUAGUGGAAAUGUGUCGAAUAAAUGGUGGAAGUGAAACAAAGGUACUUGAUAUAGAUUCAGAAACAGAGGUAAUAGGAAUACCUUGAGAUGAUGGAUGUAUACCCGUAUCAGAUACGUUUGUAACAAUGUUAGAAAUUGGUAUCUCCUCAUGAAUUGAUUUGGUUACAACAAUUUCGAGUGGAAUUGUUGUUGAUGGCAAUGAAACAUUUUGAAGAAUCAAUGGUUGUGAGAGUUUUGGGGAAUUCGAACCCAAAGGUGUGUAUGGGACGAUCUCACUAUCUGAUGACUCAUCUUGAAUCACCAGCUUUUGUUUCUUCAUCUUCUUGUUGAUGUGCUUCACCACAUCCUCAGCUCUUCACUUCUUUGAGGAUGAUGAAACUGGUGCACGAAUCUCAUGAACUGUUACUCUUUUUCUAUUAAGUUAAGGUUUACGAAUAGUAGGAGAUUGAUCUUCUGAAGUUCAUUUUGUAAAAGAUAACUUCUUCACCCUUUUUUUACACACCAUAUUUCGAAGGGACCAAUUCCUUCGAAGAUUCUUCAACAACCUUCUCCUUCGGCUUCUCGGUUUCAUUUAUAAACUUCUUCGGAGACUUAGUCUUAGCUUGUUUAUUGGGGCAUUCUUGAACAACAUCAUCAUCUCCCUUCUUUGAUUUCUUAGCUUCCUUAGAUGAUCCUUCAUCACAUGUUUUCAGCAAAAUCCCAGUUUCAAUGGAAGAAUUAACAUUUUUCAAGUAUGACACCAAUAUAGAGUUUGUUGGAUCAAAUUUCUUCAAUAUACCAUCUAGAAUUCGAGCAACACUUGGGAAUACUUAUGAAUCAUCUGCAACAGUCUUUGGAAAAUGAUACUUCACGAAUUCUGCCUUAGCCUCAUCAACAGGAAUUGGAAUACCUUCUUUCUCAUAUACAUACUGAAGAACCAAACUCCAGUAAAAUGCAUACGAAAUUCCUUUUACUAUAUUCGUGUUUUCCAGACUCUUUAUAACCUCUUUCCAAAUCUGAGUAGCAUAAUCAACAUUGAGAUCAUAGUACAACCCUGCUACCAUAGCAUAAACUUCCAUUCUCCCCUUAUCAAGCCCUACACUUCACCCAGUUAAGUAACGAAGGUAUAUCCCAAAAAAGAAAUUCCAAAUGCAAGGAAGACCAGACUUCUUGAAGUCAUUGAUCUUAACAAGUGGGGGCUGAUGACCCAUCUCGUUAAACAUGAACAUAACUUGAUCACCAGUAGGUUUAAAGAAUGAAGGUGAAUUUGGAAUUACCAAGAUUUGAGUAAACAACUUCUUCAUGAGUCGAAUUUGCUUUCUGUUCACUAGAUUGAAUGUGAUUACAUCAGUGGCUUUGCUGUAAGAAGCAGUGGAACCAUCCAUUGAUAACCAUGAAAGCGGAACAUCAAAAGCAUUGAACAUUGCAGUAGCAAGACCUGAAUGUUGAAGAGCAACAAUCAACAUCUUCAACUCCUUAGGUUACAAUGAAACAUCACCCUCAACCUGAUAAUUAGUGCUUUGGAUCUUCAUGAUGGGUUGCGAUACAAGUUCUUCAGUAGUGGUGGUUGGAUCAGCCGCCAUUGAUUAGGGUUUUGAGAAAUCCUUAAAGAAUAGAGAAAUUUAGGGCUUUUUGAUCGUCUGAUAAUUUGAAUGCGUGAUUAUAAAAGAAGAUAAUAACUUCCAUUUAUACGUAAACCCAAUUAAAUUCCAAACGUUUUCUUAAAAGAGUAAGCCACGUUUGUCCUUGAAAGUCGCACCACUAGCCGUUAAACACGCCAUGUCAGAUAAAGUUCCUUGAAAGUCGGGCCAUGUUGCCAAACUGUCACAUCUAACGCUUCGUGAGUACCAAGUGGAUAAGAUCGAAAACCUUCGGCAUGGAGGUAAGGCUCUUUCUUCUUUGGGAUUAGAGACGAAGUCAUAUGCCAGAAUGUUGAAAUCAUCAGCCUGAGUUGGUAAUACUCAGAACCUCAAGGAUUCCGUGAGUGUAGUGUGCCAAUAGAAUGAGAUAAGAAGCAAACUAACAAAAAUUUUGGAUCUGUAAUGUCGAAAAAUUAAAUUUCGACACAAAAACAAUUUAACCCCGGGCAAAGGUUACUUCGUUAAUUAUGAAGAGAGAUAAUCAACAGCUUGUGUGGUUUCCCGUGAAUUUCAAUCAAAUAUUUAUAAAGAAGUAUUGAAGGGCUUCUUUUUCAAGGCUUCGUGGGUGGCUUAAAAUUUCAUUACAUAUCAACCUAAACAUAAGGUGAGUAAUUGUAACAUAAAUUACUUGUGUGACCAGUGUAGUCAGUGGCAAGUAUGCUUUGGAUUAAUUUGAAAGUGACAAUUGAAAGAAUUGAUACUCCGACGAAAAUCAUAUUCAAAGAAAAAAUAUGUUCAGCUGGAUCCUGUUGGGUAACAAAUGUCGUGGGUUACGAACAUUUGAUCAAGACCACUCAUAACGAAAGAAUAUGAUUUGGAGCAGCAAAAAUUUGGUACUAAAACAAAUGUUUCAUGAAAAUCUGGAACAAAGUUCCCCGUCAAUUCCUUAAAGAUUUAGAAAAUUGGGUUUCACUUUCAUCACGGUCUCAUGAAUCAAGAUCAUAAACAUAGAGUUUUGAUAUGUCUAAGUCACGAUUGGUUUGAUCAAUGACCUCUUGGACAUAUGUCAUUGUGUGUGAAAUGUGUUAGAAAUUUUGAGAUUGAAACAUCCCAAAAAUACAACCCAAAAAUUUUUGUUUGAAAACAUUACUAAACCAUAAUAUCAAAUAUCAAAAGAUAAAAACCAUGAAUCGUGUAUCUCAAAUGUCAUAAUAAAUUAUCAAAUCAAAACUAGUGUCAAGAUCAUAUCAAAAUAUCAGUGUCAACCUCCCAGGCUAAACUGUAGUGUGUGCCAUGCCACCAUCCCGAGCCCUUCCCUUUGCUAGCUGAAGUACCUGAAACCAAGAUUGAAACUGUAAGCACGAAGCUUAGUGAGCUCCCCCAAACUACCACAUACCAUACAAUAACAUAUAAAGCACAUACUGGGUCUUGCCCACUGCAUCGGACCGAAGUUCGGAACUAACUAGGGCCUUGACCAUUGCAUCCGACCGAAGUCCGGAUCUGCAUCGGACCGAAGUCGGGAAUUGACUAGGGUCUUGCCCACUACAUCAGACCAAAAUCUGGAACUAACUAAGGCCUUGCCAACUGCAUCGGACCAAAGUUUGGAUCUGCAUCGGGCCAAAGUCCGGAACUGACUAGGGCCUCGCCCACUGCACCGGACCAAAGUCCGGAACUGCAUUGAACCAAAGUCCAGAACUGACUGAAGAUAGCAUAACAUAAUCAUAGCAUAUAAUAUGAACACAUAUACUGCAUAUUGCAUCGGACCAUAGUCUGGAACACAUAACACAUACCAUGUAUGUAUCACAAAGACAUCAAGCCUACUAAACUACUGCAUCGAACUGUAGUCCGGACCUAUUGCGAACUAAACGGGCCGACAUUAUGGCCGUAGACCCAUUCCUACUGGAAGGAAAACUCACCUCGUAAGGCUGGGUGCUGAAAUGCUGCUAGGGAAUUGUCUGACUGCUGCUCCGGUAACUCCCCGGCUACAAUUCCCAAAAGACACUUAAUCAAACACUAAUAACUAAUCUUAGGGUAAAAUGACUAUUUUACCCCCUGGUCAAAGUCAAUAAUCUAUUGACCUNGGCUUUCCAACUCGCCGAGUCCCUACGCAAACGACUGCCCUGAAUCCUGGUCCUACUCGUCGAGUUAGGCGACGACUCGACGGGUUCACCUUCUUAACCAAUAUUCAAGUCCUUGAUCCUACUCGCCAAGUUGUAUGAACAACUCGCCGAGUUCAUCUUCAUCCGAUGAACACUUAUGCGAAGACUCGCCGAGUUGUGUGAACAACUCGUCGAGUCUGUUCUUACGGGUAAGGAGAUUGCCUUGGACUCGCCGAGUCAGGGCGUAGACUCGCCGAUUCCCUCUACACUCAGAUUCAUGUAUUAACUCACUAAGUCUUUACUCCACUCACUAAACAGACUCGCUACUACUGAACAGGGAAUCUAAGACUCGUGACCUGACUCACCGAGUCCUUUGCAUACAGUUUCUAUUCAGUCGAUUCUAAUCAGUUUUAGUGUAUCCAAUUCAUAGAUCUGGGUUUCUGGUAGGGGUGUAAAUGGGCCAAGCUACUUGUGAGCUACUCGGGAUCGACUCGUUAAAAGCUCGACUUGAGAUCGAAUUAAACAAGCCUGAGCCGAGCUCGAGCCUAACUAUGAGGCUCGUUUAUUAAACGAGCUCGNNNNNNNNNNNNNNNNNNNNNNNNNNNNNNNNNNNNNNNNNNNNNNNNNNNNNNNNNNNNNNNNNNNNNNNNNNNNNNNNNNNNNNNNNNNNNNNNNNNNNNNNNNNNNNNNNNNNNNNNNNNNNNNNNNNNNNNNNNNNNNNNNNNNNNNNNNNNNNNNNNNNNNNNNNNNNNNNNNNNNNNNNNNNNNNNNNNNNNNNNNNNNNNNNNNNNNNNNNNNNNNNNNNNNNNNNNNNNNNNNNNNNNNNNNNNNNNNNNNNNNNNNNNNNNNNNNNNNNNNNNNNNNNNNNNNNNNNNNNNAGUUUUUGGGACUAUCUAAACACGUAAAGUUGCUAACUUUACGUGUAUCUUUGAUGCAAUGAAGCAAUAACACUCAAACUUGGCUAUUAUAGGGGUUACUUGACUAGAACAAAGCCAUGGCUGCCAAAAGAUGGCCUUCUUGAGCUCCUGGAACUCAAGAGAGGCUAGAUCCAAGAUAUGGCUUGAUUACAAAGCUUCAUCACUAGGGAUUUGGGGUUUUUGAGCUCAAAACCAUCAGUUUGGGGACAAACUAGAUCUAGCAAUACAAUAACCAAGAUGAAAGCUUUAUUACCCGAAAGGAUGGCCAAAGAGGAGUAUAUCUCUGGAUCUACUUCUUCUUCCUUGAGUUCUUCUACCUUCUCCUUUUUCUUCUUGCUCAACAAUGCACCAAGAUUUCUUCAAAAGGGAAAAGAUCACUCACACACCCGUCAAGGAGGCUAGGGUUUUGGGAAUUAGUCUCUGAGAGUUGAAGGAGGCUGGUUUGGAGCUAUAAUGGUGUUUAAAUAGGGUAAACACCCUGAAAAUUAGGGCUUCAUCCAGACUGGCGGACUCGCCGAGUCCGGAAUAUGGACUCGUCAAGUCGCCACGCCAACUUCACGUGCUGACCCGCUACUACUCGACGAGUUAGGGCCACUGACUCGUCGAGUAGCUUCUAAAAUAAGAAACAAAAUAAUGUUUUAAAUGCGUACCAGGAACGGGGUGUUACAACUCCCCCCCCCCCCACUUAUCUUAGACUUCGUCCUCGAAGUCUGUUGCUACUGAAUCUGAAAAUAACUCUGGGUAAUGCUCACUCAUCUCCUCCUCGGUCUCCCAUGUCUACUCCGAACCCUUCCGGUGCUGCCAUUGCACCUUCACUAGCCGAACCACCUUGUUCCUCAAGGUCUUCGUCUUCCGAUCCAAGAUUGUAACGGGUCUCUCGAUGUAAUUCAGGUUGCUGUCAGCCUGAAUAUCCUCCAACGGUACAAUUAUUGACUCAUCCACCAAACACUUCCGUAACUAAGACAUAUGGAAAGUGUUGUGGAUCUGGCUAAGCUCUGCUGUAAGAUCUAACCGAUACACAACCCGACCUACCCGGACCAAAACCCUAAAGGGUCCAAUGAACCUAAGGCCUAGCUUGCCCCUCUUCCGGAACCUGAUGACACCCUUCCAGGGUGACACUUUCAGGAGGACCAUAUCACCUACCUGAAACUCCAAGUCAGAACGCCUCCUAUUGGCGUAACUCCUCUAUUGACUAUGAGCAGUCUGGAGCCGGCUACGAACCUGUUGUAUCAACUCUAUGGUCUUAAGCACCACCUCUGUGCUCCCCAUGACUCUCUGACCGACCUCAAAACACCCAAAUGUAAUAUUAAGGCUAGGAUCCAAUCACAAUAUAUUAUAACUUGGAAGAGGUAUGCCGUAAUCCAAGCUAUAACAUAUUUGAAAGGUAGGUGAAUGACGAUUCACCAAUUUCCACCACGAAAAACGAAAUAUUAAAUAUUAGGUUUUUUAUUGGUUCUUAGAAAUUCCUAGAUUAUUUGAGAUUCAAUGAACUUUUCAAAGGCAUGUUUCAAUCUCGAGUGUGCCCUCCAAGUUUUGUGACUGGGAUACCGAGGUUCACAAAACGAGGUGUGAAGUAACCAUGCAAAUCACUUGGUACCCUUAAAGUUUAUCACUCAAUCGAUGUGCCGGUAAACCACACACGCUCCAUCGAUACUAUAAUAAACCUUAAGUCACCCUUUACCUACCUUGUUAAGUCCAAGUUAGUGUGUCGGUUAACCACACACGCUCCACCAACGACUUAAACAAAGUGUAAAGUGUAAUUUCAUGGAUUAUCACCUUAUUCACAUUUUUCCUAAAGUAACUAAGAUUGGGAAUUUAAUAAAACAUUUAGUUACUUUAUAAUAUUCAUCAUACUUUUAAUGAGAAUUUAUAAGUCCUUGUCUUACCCGUUCGGCUAACGACCCUCCACCGAUCAAGCAAGCGGUGGGUGAGAGUGGACACCCAUUAAGUUGCCAUUUUAUAGGCAACAACCUUAUACCCACCUUAUAGACCGGUUUCGUGAAUGAGGCGUACUAGCGGUAAGACGACUUUGUUCUUAUACAUAUAUAUAUAUAUAUAUAUAUAUAUAUAUAUAUAUAUAUAUAAUUAUUAAAUCAU
Molecule: long non-coding RNA, 35659 nt
Filed under: Lactuca sativa (garden lettuce)
Lineage: Eukaryota; Viridiplantae; Streptophyta; Magnoliopsida; Asterales; Asteraceae
Description: long non-coding RNA (LSAT_LNC001403)
Source: RNAcentral